AUUGAACGCUGGCGGCAGGCCUAACACAUGCAAGUCGAACGGUAACAGGAAGCAGCUUGCUGCUUUGCUGACGAGUGGCGGACGGGUGAGUAAUGUCUGGGAAACUGCCUGAUGGAGGGGGAUAACUACUGGAAACGGUAGCUAAUACCGCAUAAUGUCGCAAGACCAAAGAGGGGGACCUUCGGGCCUCUUGCCAUCGGAUGUGCCCCGAUGGGAUUAGCUAGUAGGUGGGGUAAAGGCUCACCUAGGCGACGAUCCCUAGCUGGUCUGAGAGGAUGACCAGCCACACUGGAACUGAGACACGGUCCAGACUCCUACGGGAGGCAGCAGUGGGGAAUAUUGCACAAUGGGCGCAAGCCUGAUGCAGCCAUGCCGCGUGUAUGAAGAAGGCCUUCGGGUUGUAAAGUACUUUCAGCGGGGAGGAAGGGAGUAAAGUUAAUACCUUUGCUCAUUGACGUUACCCGCAGAAGAAGCACCGGCUAACUCCGUG
This 490-nucleotide ribosomal RNA is filed under the name uncultured bacterium. RNAcentral's name for it is "partial 16S ribosomal RNA". It matches the Rfam family "Bacterial small subunit ribosomal RNA", at positions 30 to 507 of the family's 1533-position model. The record is from RNAcentral.